UCGAAUGAUUAAAUGUAUGAAUUUUUAUCAAUCUGUCAAUCCCCUGAGAUUUUCAUUGAAGAGAAUAUUCAUCGAAUUAUGACG
This 84-nucleotide small nucleolar RNA is filed under the name Schizosaccharomyces pombe (fission yeast). Its description in RNAcentral is "small nucleolar RNA snoR02 (predicted)". The record is from RNAcentral. Lineage: Eukaryota; Fungi; Ascomycota; Schizosaccharomycetes; Schizosaccharomycetales; Schizosaccharomycetaceae.